UUUCUGGUUGAUCCCGCCAGAGGUUACUGCUAUCGGUGUUCGCCUAAGCCAUGCGAGUCAUAUGUUCUUCGUGAACAUGGCGUACUGCUCAGUAACACGUGGAUAACCUGCCCUUGGGUCUGGGAUAACCCCGGGAAACUGGGGAUAAUACCGGAUAACGCAUAUAUGCUGGAAUGCUUUAUGCGUAAAAUGGAUUCGUCUGCCCAAGGAUGGGUCUGCGGCCUAUCAGGUAGUAGUGGGUGUAAUGUACCUACUAGCCUACAACGGGUACGGGUUGUGAGAGCAAGAGCCCGGAGAUGGAUUCUGAGACAUGAAUCCAGGCCCUACGGGGCGCAGCAGGCGCGAAAACUUUACAAUGCGGGGAACCGUGAUAAGGGGACACCGAGUGCCAGCAUCAUAUGCUGGCUGUCCAGAUGUGUAAAAUACAUCUGUUAGCAAGGGCCGGGCAAGACCGGUGCCAGCCGCCGCGGUAACACCGGCGGCCCGAGUGGUGAUCGUGAUUAUUGGGUCUAAAGGGUCCGUAGCCGGUUUGGUCAGUCCUCCGGGAAAUCUGAUGGCUCAACCAUUAGGCUCUCGGGGGAUACUGCCAGGCUUGGAACCGGGAGAGGUAAGAGGUACUACAGGGGUAGGAGUGAAAUCUUGUAAUCCCUGUGAGACCACCUGUGGCGAAGGCGUCUUACCAGAACGGGUUCGACGGUGAGGGACGAAAGCUGGGGGCACGAACCGGAUUAGAUACCCGGGUAGUCCCAGCCGUAAACGAUGCUCGCUAGGUGUCAGGCAUGGCGCGACCGUGUCUGGUGCCGCAGGGAAGCCGUGAGGCGAGCCACCUGGGAAGUACGGCCGCAAGGCUGAAACUUAAAGGAAUUGGCGGGAA
RNAcentral lists this ribosomal RNA (874 nucleotides) under uncultured archaeon. RNAcentral describes it as "bacterial SSU rRNA". It matches the Rfam family "Archaeal small subunit ribosomal RNA", at positions 1 to 874 of the family's 1478-position model. The record is from RNAcentral.